GUGCCAGCAGCCGCGGGUAAUACGUAGGUGGCAAGCGUUGUCCGGAAUUAUUGGGCGUAAAGCGCGCGCAGGCCGUCCUUUAAGUCUGAUGUGAAAGCCCACGGCUCAACCGUGGAGGGUCAUUGGAAACUGGGGGACUUGAGUGCAGAAGAGAAGAGUGGAAUUCCACGUGUAGCGGUGAAAUGCGUAGAGAUGUGGAGGAACACCAGGUGGCGAAGGCGACUCUUUGGUCUGUAACUGACGCUGAGGCGCGAAAGCGUGGGGAGCAAACAGGAUUAGAUACCCUGGUAGUCC
RNAcentral lists this ribosomal RNA (294 nucleotides) under uncultured microorganism. Its description in RNAcentral is "partial 16S ribosomal RNA". It matches the Rfam family "Bacterial small subunit ribosomal RNA", at positions 505 to 796 of the family's 1533-position model. The record is from RNAcentral.